This 497-nucleotide ribosomal RNA is filed under the name uncultured bacterium. Its description in RNAcentral is "partial 16S ribosomal RNA". It matches the Rfam family "Bacterial small subunit ribosomal RNA", at positions 28 to 507 of the family's 1533-position model. The record is from RNAcentral.
GAUGAACGCUGGCGGCGUGCCUAAUACAUGCAAGUCGAGCGAACAGACGAGGAGCUUGCUCCUCUGACGUUAGCGGCGGACGGGUGAGUAACACGUGGAUAACCUACCUAUAAGACUGGGAUAACUUCGGGAAACCGGAUCUAAUACCGGAUAAUAUAUUGAACCGCAUGGUUCAAUAGUGAAAGACGGUUUUGCUGUCACUUAUAGAUGGAUCCGCGCCGCAUUAGCUAGUUGGUAAGGUAACGGCUUACCAAGGCAACGAUGCGUAGCCGACCUGAGAGGGUGAUCGGCCACACUGGAACUGAGACAAGGUCCAGACUCCUACGGGAGGCAGCAGUAGGGAAUCUUCCGCAAUGGGCGAAAGCUUGACGGAGCAACGCCGCGUGAGUGAUGAAGGUCUUCGGAUCGUAAAACUCUGUUAUUAGGGAAGAACAAAUGUGUAAGUAACUAUGCACGUCUUGACGGUACCUAAUCAGAAAGCCACGGCUAACUACGUG